Molecule: transfer RNA, 95 nt
Filed under: Acidobacteriota bacterium
Lineage: Bacteria; Pseudomonadati; Acidobacteriota
Description: tRNA-Met
Source: RNAcentral
CGCCGGGCUCGAUAGCAACAUCGUCCUUAACCGGACUUUCCAUCUUUGGGUUCAUAACCCAAAGGUCGUAGGUUCAAAUCCUACCCCCGCAACCA